RNAcentral lists this ribosomal RNA (381 nucleotides) under uncultured eukaryote. Its description in RNAcentral is "partial 18S ribosomal RNA". It matches the Rfam family "Eukaryotic small subunit ribosomal RNA", at positions 592 to 976 of the family's 1831-position model. The record is from RNAcentral.
CAAUAGCGUAUAUUAAAGCUGUUGCGGUUAAAAAGCUCGUAGUUGGAUUUCUGUCAAGGACAACUGGUCCGCCCUUCGGGUGAGCACAUAGUUUGGUCUUGGCAUCUUGUUGGAAACUGUUGCUGCACUUGGUUGUGUGGCGCAGCGUCCAGCACUUUCACUUUGAGGAAAUCGGAGUGUUUCAAGCAGGCACAUGCCUUUGGACACAGUAGCAUGGAAUAAUUAGAUUGGGCUUUUGCUCCAACUUGUCGGUUUCUGGAGCUGAGGUGAGAAUUAAUGGGGAUUGUUGGGGGCAUCCGAAUUUAGCCGUCAGAGGUGAAAUUCUUGGAUCUGCUAAAGACGGACAACUGCGAAAGCGUUUGCCCAGGAUGUUUUCAUUGA